GGGCAUGUAGCGUAGGGGUUAUCGCGUUCGCUUUGCAUUCUCGAUCGUUUGCGAAAGGUCUCCGGUUCAAAUCCGGACUUGUCCA
Molecule: non-coding RNA, 85 nt
Organism: Lentinula edodes (shiitake mushroom)
Lineage: Eukaryota; Fungi; Basidiomycota; Agaricomycetes; Agaricales; Omphalotaceae
Source: Rfam